This 418-nucleotide ribosomal RNA is filed under the name Sinatablatta hamata. RNAcentral's name for it is "partial 28S ribosomal RNA". It matches the Rfam family "Eukaryotic large subunit ribosomal RNA", at positions 741 to 1152 of the family's 3401-position model. Lineage: Eukaryota; Metazoa; Arthropoda; Insecta; Blattodea; Blattellidae. The record is from RNAcentral.
GGGCCCGCAUUCCCGGGGCGCCUCGUGGCAGUUCUCUGCUUUCGAGGCGCACUCUGAGCGCACACGUUGGGACCCGAAAGAUGGUGAACUAUGCCUGGCCAGGACGAAGUCAGGGGAAACCCUGAUGGAGGUCCGCAGCGAUUCUGACGUGCAAAUCGAUCGUCAGAGCUGGGUAUAGGGGCGAAAGACUAAUCGAACCAUCUAGUAGCUGGUUCCCUCCGAAGUUUCCCUCAGGAUAGCUGGCUCCCGUUUUGAAACGAGAGAGUCUCAUCCGGUAAAGCGAAUGAUUAGAGGCCUUGGGGCCGAAACGACCUCAACCUAUUCUCAAACUUUAAAUGGGUGAGAUCUCCGGCUUGCUUGACAGUGAAGCCGUGUGGGAUCAGGGUGCCCAGUGGGCCACUUUUGGUAAGCAGAACUG